ACUGAUACAGUGAUGCACCAUAUCGCACUUGACUCAUUGGCCGGUUUUACACAUCGUAGAUUGAGCGUAGACGUCAAUUAAGAAAAUUGGUGGACAUACAUGAGGACUGACGCUAAAGGUUUGGAUGAGAUUUACAAGCUGACCGAGGCUUGAAGGCUGAAAGUAGAGGUGCAAAAGACAUUCUUAAUUACGCAAGUUCAAGAGGCACACAUUGAAAAAAAACAGAAGGAUAAUUCCUGAUGGUAAAAGAUUAGUGUUAAGGACAAGUGAUUGUUAAGAGCCGGUUCAGAUUCAAAUCAAAGUGAAUUUUAGAAGUUAUAAAGAUGGUAAUUUUGACGUUUUGAGGUCAAACAGAGACAUUCAACUCCUUUAUUAUACUAAGGUCAUGAAAUAUCAAUAAAAUCUUUUUGAUCACAAUAAACUUACAAACAUAAUACA
Molecule: long non-coding RNA, 438 nt
Organism: Helianthus annuus (common sunflower)
Lineage: Eukaryota; Viridiplantae; Streptophyta; Magnoliopsida; Asterales; Asteraceae
Exons: 3
Source: RefSeq, a predicted model, not a curated record